This 460-nucleotide ribosomal RNA is filed under the name uncultured bacterium. Its description in RNAcentral is "partial 16S ribosomal RNA". It matches the Rfam family "Bacterial small subunit ribosomal RNA", at positions 338 to 795 of the family's 1533-position model. The record is from RNAcentral.
CCUACGGGAGGCAGCAGUGAGGAAUAUUGGUCAAUGGACGAGAGUCUGAACCAGCCAAGUAGCGUGAAGGAUGACUGCCCUAUGGGUUGUAAACUUCUUUUAUAAAGGAAUAAAACGAGGCACGUGUGCCUUUUUGCAUGUACUUUAUGAAUAAGGAUCGGCUAACUCCGUGCCAGCAGCCGCGGUAAUACGGAGGAUCCGAGCGUUAUCCGGAUUUAUUGGGUUUAAAGGGAGCGUAGAUGGGUUGUUAAGUCAGUUGUGAAAGUUUGCGGCUCAACCGUAAAAUUGCAAUUGAUACUGGCAGUCUGGAGUACAGUUGAGGUAGGCGGAAUUCGUGGUGUAGCGGUGAAAAGCUUAGAUAUCACGAAGAACCCCGAUUGCGAAGGCAGCUUACUAAACUGUGACUGACAUUGAUGCUCGAAAGUGUGGGUAUCAAACAGGAUUAGAUACCCUUGUAGUC